UACGGAGGGUGCAAGCGUUAUCCGGAUUCACUGGGUUUAAAGGGUGCGUAGGUGGGUUGAUAAGUCAGUGGUGAAAUCCCCGAGCUUAACUUGGGAACUGCCAUUGAUACUAUUGAUCUUGAAUACCGUGGAGGUCAGCGGAAUAUGUCAUGUAGCGGUGAAAUGCUUAGAUAUGACAUAGAACACCAAUUGCGAAGGCAGCUGGCUACGCGAAUAUUGACACUGAUGCACGAAAGCGUGGGAAUCAAACAGG
RNAcentral lists this ribosomal RNA (253 nucleotides) under uncultured bacterium. RNAcentral's name for it is "partial 16S ribosomal RNA". It matches the Rfam family "Bacterial small subunit ribosomal RNA", at positions 524 to 776 of the family's 1533-position model. The record is from RNAcentral.